GAGUCCCCAAAUGCAAGAGUAGCAGAGGUUGUUUCGUUUCUACAAAAAGGUAAAACUUUUGUUUUGAAGCGCAAUCCUACCAGCGAGGACAGAUCAUUUUACUAGUUCUUAUAACACAUGAGAAGAAUCAAAGACGGAGGUCAAGAGGUGAAAGCCUCGGUCCUUCUCCCUGACCCCACAGACCCACUUAUCAGAGAAUCCAAUAAAGUUCUCGGAAAAUUGGGCUUGGCCCCUGCAUCUGGAAA
Mesocricetus auratus (golden hamster) is the source of this 245-nucleotide long non-coding RNA. RefSeq lists it as uncharacterized. NCBI's taxonomy places the organism in Eukaryota, Metazoa, Chordata, Mammalia, Rodentia, Cricetidae. The transcript is spliced from 2 exons. The record is from RefSeq and is a predicted model, not a curated record.